This 345-nucleotide long non-coding RNA is filed under the name Trifolium pratense (red clover). Its description in RNAcentral is "long non-coding RNA (TPRA_LNC013576)". Lineage: Eukaryota; Viridiplantae; Streptophyta; Magnoliopsida; Fabales; Fabaceae. The record is from RNAcentral.
CAUGUAUGCUCAGCUUGAGGAGGAGUGUUAGAAUAAAGAAAAUAUGUAGAUAUUCUAUGAACUUUACAUCUUCCUAGAUUAGUUAUUAAUAGUCCUAGUCUCCCCAACUAACUAGGCUUCCUUAGUUAUUAAUAGUCCUAGUCUCCCCAACUAACUGGGCUUCCUUGUAUUUAUUGUAUCUACAUUAUAAAUACAUAGAGUGUGUGAUCUGGUUGGACACACAAAAUUCACAUAAUUUAAUAAUAAUCUUGCCUAAGCUUUCAGAGAAGAAUCGAGAAGCAUGAAUGCCGAAAUGUUCAAAUUUAAGUUCAGAGAAAAAGAGAUCACAGAGGCACUCAUCUCCAA